Molecule: non-coding RNA, 223 nt
Filed under: Streptomyces afghaniensis 772
Lineage: Bacteria; Bacillati; Actinomycetota; Actinomycetes; Kitasatosporales; Streptomycetaceae
Description: Streptomyces sRNA 4677
Rfam family: Streptomyces sRNA 4677
About the family: Located in the intergenic region between anti-sigma factor SCO4677 gene and a putative regulatory protein gene SCO4676. scr4677 expression requires the SCO4677 activity and scr4677 sRNA itself seem to affect the levels of the SCO4676-associated transcripts.
Source: Rfam by way of RNAcentral
GGUCCGGUCGGCCGCUGACCUCCUCAAAGAACCGGGGAAAGAACUACCCGCCCACCCACCCUCCCCGCGCCGGCGGGCGGGCGUCACCCGUGCGAGUGACCGGCUUGCAGGGGCGGGACACGGACCAUUACGUUCGCCGCGACAACCGCAAACAGAUACGGCCCCCGGCCGGGACGGCAAUCCCGAUCGAGGGCCUGACCGAUCAGGAAGAGUGCACUUCCCG